This 465-nucleotide ribosomal RNA is filed under the name uncultured bacterium. Its description in RNAcentral is "partial 16S ribosomal RNA". It matches the Rfam family "Bacterial small subunit ribosomal RNA", at positions 30 to 507 of the family's 1533-position model. The record is from RNAcentral.
CGAACGCUGGCGGCGUGCUUAACACAUGCAAGUCGAACGGAAAGGCCCUGCUUUUGUGGGGUGCUCGAGUGGCGAACGGGUGAGUAACACGUGAGUAACCUGCCCUUGACUUUGGGAUAACUUCAGGAAACUGGGGCUAAUACCGGAUAGGAGCUCCUGCUGCAUGGUGGGGGUUGGAAAGUUUCGGCGGUUGGGGAUGGACUCGCGGCUUAUCAGCUUGUUGGUGGGGUAGUGGCUUACCAAGGCUUUGACGGGUAGCCGGCCUGAGAGGGUGACCGGCCACAUUGGGACUGAGAUACGGCCCAGACUCCUACGGGAGGCAGCAGUGGGAAUAUUGCACAAUGGGCGGAAGCCUGAUGCAGCAACGCCGCGUGCGGGAUGACGGCCUUCGGGUUGUAAACCGCUUUCGCCUGUGACGAAGCGUGAGUGACGGUAAUGGGUAAAGAAGCACCGGCUAACUACGUG